UUCACUUCCAAAUUCUCCGAUCGACGACUCCAUCGUUAAUCGAAUCGCUGCCGGAGACGCCGUUCAAAGGCCUGUGUCCGCCAUUAAAGAGCUUGUCGAAAACAGCCUCGACGCCCAAUCCACCUCCGUCAAUGUCGUUGUCCAAGACGGCGGCCUCAAACUGGCCAUGGCAUCCGUGUCUGUUUCUUUCUUAGGUCGAAUUUAAGGUUGCAUCGUUCCAGAAACUUUACGAGAUCUUUUAGAGAUACUGAGGUUUGUAACAACCCAAGUUUACCACUAGCAGCUAUGACUCGUCUUUUUCGUGGUUUUCGCCUUUGAUGUUCUUUGGCAAACAUGGGUUCAUAUAAAGACUUAGAAAGUUAGUUGCCUCGCUAGCUAACCUUCUCUUGCCUGGCUAGCUUUGCUACUGAUAGAACAGUGUUGCUAUAGUUUGUGGCAAACUUGCUUCGGAGAAAAAGAAAUUAGUAGCUUAUAUGUUAUGGGAAGGUUAAUUUUUGAAGAUGUGAUAUAACUACUCAAUAUCCUUACGGUAAGUUAAUAGCAUUAGAGCAUUUAUGCAGUGGAAUCCAUUUUGAAGUUGA
Molecule: non-coding RNA, 581 nt
Organism: Cucurbita pepo subsp. pepo (vegetable marrow)
Lineage: Eukaryota; Viridiplantae; Streptophyta; Magnoliopsida; Cucurbitales; Cucurbitaceae
Source: RefSeq, a predicted model, not a curated record